Long non-coding RNA from Anolis carolinensis (green anole), 2290 nucleotides. RefSeq lists it as uncharacterized. The record is from RefSeq and is a predicted model, not a curated record. The transcript has 4 exons. NCBI's taxonomy places the organism in Eukaryota, Metazoa, Chordata, Lepidosauria, Squamata, Anolidae.
ACAUCACAGAGGGUCACUACAUCUAACAACAAACAAUCCUGCAACCAGCAACAGUGAAUCCGGUGAUGUUACGGAGGGCCACUUCAUCUAGCAACAGCAUUCAUGGACUACACUGCAAGGCAAAUAUCAGGACAAGUGGAGAUGGAGGAGGAGAAAGUUUGGUUUCUGUAUGUGAAGUGGCUUUGAAGACUCCAUCUACUUUGCCUAGCUCAUUAUGGAGGCACUCGUAUGUGUGGUGCCAUUUCUGCAACAAAAUCAGACAAAAGAAGAAUAAAAGCGUGAGAACAGGUGCAGAAAUAAGAUGCCAGGGAACUUGUGUCCACAGUGCAAUCUGGAACAAGCUGAUCCACCCUUCCACCAUUUAGGAAGUGCAAGCAACUUCUGGUCACUUCUUAGAUCCAGCUGCUUUGAUUCAUUAAAGCUUAAGAGCAGAAUGAGCUGCUGCCAGCAUUCACAGAAGAGAAGACAAGAAAUCUUCUGUACUCAAGAAGCUUAAAUAUAUGAGCAUUUGCUGGAAAAGCUAUUUGGCAGAAUUAAUUGGUGCUAUCUUCUACUUUUUCUGCUCAAGCAGCAGAUCCAUGAAUACACACAGAGACUAGAAAUAUUUCUUUUUUGAACAACUGAUCAGCAGUAGAGUAAGAAUGGACAAAAGUGUCAUGUUCUUCAUCACAACAGAUAUGCAAUAUGAUGUGUUUCAUUAGAGGCUAUGCUUCUAGCUAUCAUAACUAACACAUCUCUAUAAAUAUUUUCUUAGAAAAGUCUAAAAUUCCAUUUAACAAUGGCAAGUAACUGCAGUGGGUCUGUGGAGGGUAGACGGGUGAUGGUCUUAUUUUACUGAUAUUUUAUGCUUUUGUUAAUUUGCAAGCCUCUUUUGAAACACAAUAUUGGAGAAAAGCCUGUUAAACAUGCAUAUGUUGAAAAAAGCAAACAGGCUGGAUGAUCAUGUGUCAGGGUUUUUUAUCAUGCUUUUCCUGCAUGUCAGGGGGUUGGACUGGAGGGCCCAUGUGGUCUCUGCCAAUUCUAUGAUCUUAAGUCCACUUCUGGAUUUGGUAUUUAGUUAUUUUUAAUGUUAAAUAGCACAUAUAAUAAUGAUGGGGACUGUAAAGAUGUCAGGAUCAUUGUGUUUUAUUCAUGAUUGCUAUGUUUAGGUUGACUGUUUAAGGUUAUAUAUUUCAGCUAUUCUUAUACAGAAGCUGGGAGCCUCUAAGGCAUGGCCAGGAAAAGGGGCGUGGCUUCACCUUGCUGGUGGAAGCCUUAGAAUUCAAAUUUAGCAGUUGGAAUUGGGCAGUUGGAGUUUGUCGGUUGACCAGGGCAGUUGGUUCUGUUCAGUGGGAAAGGAGUGAGAUCGAGAGAAGAGAUUGUGGGAAGAAGUUGAGCAGCUAGAGAGUUUUAGCGGAGAAGGGCUAAAAUUAAAGUUGCUGAGCCUUUAGUAGGGAUAACUAAAGAGCUGAGGCUACAUCCCUAAGUCAAGGAGGACUAGGGUUAACCAGUUAAACUCCCCAGUCCAAGUUUGAUCGUGUACAGAUCAACUAAGUUCAAGAAGGACAGUAUUCCUAACUGAAAGAAACAAGUCAUAUAAAGCUGAUACCAUACUAAGCUCAGAGAAACUAUUGAGAAAUCUUGCAACACUUACUGUACAGAAGUAACAUCGUUCACCUCAAGAUAUAACAUUCUUGCGACUAUCAAGCUUUGUGCUAUAAAUAAACAAGUUACUGUUUCUUCAAUUGUUGCUUAUUAUUUGAGCAAAGUAUCUUUCAAAGGUGGUAGCAGCGACAACAUUGAAAAGUGGAAUACAUAGAGGUAGAAGUUGAAUCCUUCGCAAUUUGGUGGCAGCGGUGGGAUCCAAAAAGAUUCCAUCCCUGUCAUCAUACUUCUUUACAGGGACAAACACCAAAUAGUCCAAAGGGAGAUCAGGCUAGCUGCCUCCCUCCAAAGCUUCCACACACACUUAAGGCAUGGCUUUUCCAACAAGCCUUUGACUAUGUUUAGAUUCUUUAAUGAAUUAUAUGAGGACCUUCAGAUUCUUUAGCACUUUACAAUUGUGUGAUUCAAUAUUACUGUUUUACCAACAGCAAUUGCUGUAUUUAUUGUUUUUACUAGGGGGUACUGUGAAUUUACGAUGUUAUAUUGAGUAUGUUUUUAUGCUGACUAUGUUUAUGUUUUGUUUUGUACUUGUUGUAGUUUGCAUUUACACUUUGAGUGUUUUGUGUGUCGCCCUGAGUAUCUCUGGGAGAUGGUGGUGGGGUAUAAAUAAUGAUGAUGAUGAUGAUGAUGAUGAUGAUGAUACUUA